GAAGCCUGAGAUCUGAGAGAAGACUGGGCUACUAAUUGAGAAGGCUGGCACUCUUUCCACUCAGCAAUGAUAAGUGCUACCUACCAGAUCCUUUAGCAAAAAGAAGAAAAGGUGAGAAGAAAAGAUUUGGCUAGAGAAGGGAAAGAAUUCAAGAUGCAAACAAAAUGUAAGGAAACAGAAAUCGGGUAAGUCACAACUACUUCUAUAAUAAUUUACAACUCCUUAUAGAUAUUUAACACCACACCAAAAAAAAAAAAAAAAAAAAAAAAAGAUUCUAAGAUCAGUCCAAAUGCCACUGUACUUUUAUAAGGAGGUCAAGCCUCACACAUUAGCAAAGCUAAAAUUUGGACAUUGAUUUUUUUUUCUGUCCAGAAAAAAGAAAUGAAUGUUCUCUCCAUAAUUUCAAAUAUAUAUGACAUUCUCCUUCAAUAUUCUUCACAAAUUGUAGCCUGCUUCAUCACCUUUUUUAAAGCAUAUUCUACCAAAAAGGUGCCUGUAUUUUAUUGAUUUUUACCUAUUAUAAACAGUCUAGAAAGUACUAACUAAGGAUUCUUUCAGGAUGAAAUAUGGGAUAUAAUGGAUCUGCUAUUAUUAUUAUGAACUACUAGUCUAUGCCAUCACUGAAAUAUUUAAAAUACAGGUACUGUAGGUAUUUGGACAACCAGAAACAAAAGAAAAAUUAAAGUAGCUAAAGGGAGAUAAAUCUUUUACCCUUAUACUGCUUAAUUGUGUUAUUGGAAUGUCUUACCUAAGAUAUUACUGUGCGUAACUAGUACUUAUGAAAUUAACAUUAGGAAAUUCUAAAUACUAAAUGUCUCAGGGAUUUUUCACAAUUUGGGCCUAGGGUUCCUAGAAGAGUUCUAGAUAUCAACUAACUUUUUAUUAGCCACCACAAAUAUCAUUCUUAGUGAUUUAAAUAAUGUUUGGGUUUUGUUAUUUUUAAUGAUGGUUAUGGAGAACAAAAGCAUUUUACACUUAUCUAAGGGAUCUUACAGUUUUCAAGGAAAGGAUAUAACCAAUACACUAGAUCUGUGGUGAUGAAAAUGUUAUAUUUUUCGACUGAGUGUUUGAUACGCAGGGAUAUAUUUUUUAAAACUCAUUAACUAGACACUCAAGAUCUUGGAAUUUCGCAACAUAUAAAUUUUACUUUGAUAAAAGAUUUUAACAGGAAAAAUAAGACACUGGCUAAAACGCUGAAACACUGGUGUUUCCAUUUGUGUUCAUUACUGUUCUGAAAUUUUAAGAUAUCAAAAUAUUAAUAUUGAAGAUAUCACUAUUUAGUUACUCUGUGGCACUAGAGUCCUCAAGAAGUCCUUAAUGAUGUGUUUUCAUGGCUAUUGUCAUUCCUUCAUAUAUCCUCAUAUUUUUCAGAAUAUAAAGUGCAUUCUACCUCAGAUAUAUUUUUAUUUCUUUGCCGAAGUAUGAUUUACUUACAAUAAAAUACACAGAUCUUAAGUAUUUGGCUUGAUGAUUUCAGACAAUUGCAUAAACUCACCACCACCCGAGAUACAGAAAUUUCAAACAUCUCAGAAGAUUCGCUUGUACCCACUUCCACUGAAUUCCUACUCCACAGCCCAGAAGCUUUCUAAUUCCUGCGACUAUCGUUUUGCUUAUUCUUGAACGUCAUAUAAAUUAAAUACAGGACCUUUGUAUCUGGCUUCUUUUGUUCAACGUGUUUUUGAGAUAAUCUCUGCUGUUGUGUGUGGUAAGAGUGUGUUCCUUCUGAUUGUACUCCUCCUUUGUAUAAAUACACCAGAAUUCGUUUUUCUACUCUCCUGUUGAAGGACAUUUGCAUUAUUUCUAGUUUGGGGUGAUAAUGAAUUAAGUUGCUAAGAACAUUCUUGUACAUGUCUUUUUGUGGAUAUAUGAUUUUUAUUUCUUUGGGAAGCCUAGGGAUAGAAUUGCCGGCCUAUAGGAUUGAUAUAGAUUUAUUUUCUAUGUGUAAAAUAAAAGCUACAUAGUUCUCCAAAGUUCUGUGUCAUUUUCAAUUUCCAUCAACCAAUGAGAGAGGCGCUGCAGCCUUUAGGUUCCUUUAGUCAUUCCAGUGCUGGUUUUUUCCCCAAGCCAGUCUCUUUUGUUGUUAUUUAGCUAUUCUGGUGAGUGGGAAUGGUAUCCCUUUGCGGUUUUAAUUUGCAUUUCUAAUGAUUAAUGAUGUUGAACACAUUUUCUUGUGGCAAUUUUCCAUUUAAAUCUUUCUUUGCAAAGUGUCCAAGUUUUGGUACUUUUUAAAUUGCACUGUCCUUUUUUAUUAUUUAUAUAGUCUAGAUACAAGGCUUUCGUCAGAUGGAUGCAUGACAAAUAUCUUCUUCUCAAUCCAUGGCUUGCCUACUCACUUUCUUUAUUUCUUUGUAUUUUUUUCUUUUUAGGGCCACACCCACAGCAUAUGGAAGUUCCCAGGCUAGAGGUCAAAUCAGAGCUGCAGCUGCUGGCCUUUGCCACAGCCACGGCAAUGCCAGAUCUGAGCUGUGCCUGCAACCUACACUGCUGCUCAUGACCACACCAGAUCCUUAACCCACUGGGCGAGGCCAGGGAUCAAACUCACAUCCUCAUGGAUGUUAGUUGGUUCCCCCACAGAGCCACAGCAGGAACUCCAAACUACUCAUUUUCAUAAUGGUGUCUUUUAAUGAAUCUUCUAUGUUUCCUUCCAGAAACUUUAUGUUUUUGGCUUCUACUUUAUGUCUAGGAUACUCCUCAAAUUAAUUUUUGUUUAUCAUCCGAGAUAAGGAUUGAGGCUACUUUUUUCCUAUGUAAAAGACUUUCUUUUUUCCUAUUGAGCUAAGCCAAUAUUUUAAAACAUUUAUAAAUUUAGUCAACUGUAAAGAUAAUAUGACCCCCAAAUAGUAUUAGAAAUAAGAUUUUUUCCCGAAGAGUGAAGAACCAUCAAUUAUUUUUAAUAGUUCCAGUAAAGGAAAAAUAGCUGUGUUGUAUGGAAGGAGCAUUAUCCUUAAAAUCAGGAUGUGCUGACUCUUACAGUGAUUUUGCUCCUUCUUAACUGUGCUAUUGUGGGUACAUCACUUACUCACUCUGCACUUCAGCCUUCUCCAUCUAUCCAACAUAUAACUAGAAAGAUAAUGCCUACUUCACAUGGAGGGCUUCUGGAGCCUCAAGGAAAGUAAGGCAGUGGAAUUCAACUCUAAGAAGUCUGCCAAGGGCCUGCAAUGUAUCCAGAUCUGGUGGGGUGUUCGGAACUAGGAGUGAGAAGUGGCCAACAGAGGAGAACAUGUAGAAGCAGAUAUAAAGGAGACUGGUGCUACAACUGUGGAGCUAGAGAGCAUCAUGCCAAAGGAUGCAAGCUGUCACUCUAGCCCCAAAAGUACCACUUCUGCCAGAGCAUCAGCCAUGUGGUGGCCUCAUAUCCACUGAAGGCCUAGCACGACCCCACCUCACAAAGAAAGCCAACCCAUUUUGGAGAAAGAAGAAAUCCAGAGCCCUGUCCUGCUCUCAGAGGCACAGAAUUUUGCCAGGAUGAAUGGGUGGCUAUCUCUUUGCACUCAGGAAAUUUCGAGGAGCAGACAUCAAUCGGCAAAGAGUGGAGAAAGCAGGACAGAUAAGGAAAGUCGAAGUAUCUUACAGAGGGUUGUGCACCAGCCAAAAGGAUCUGAAACAUCAUCUUGGGAGCUGCUCUCUUUAAAGUGGGAAAUUCUAUUAUUAGUGACAACAAGCCUUUUCCGACCAGCUAAUGAUGAUUUCUUCUUCCAAAGGGUCUGCGUCAUACAUCUCCUUCAAGAUAUGUGGAAUUUUGGAGCUGAGCUGAGCUUGAUGCAUUGCUACCACACACUCCAAACCAUGAAGAAGGUACUGUUGAGCUUUUCUGUUGUUGUGGCAAAAUUGUAAGAAAUGGUGCCUGUAUUUCUUAAUUUGUCCUCUAAUCUUCUCAUUAAAAAGAACUUCAGUCAAAAGAAGAGGGCCCAUGGCCUUUACAUCCAAUCUUUCUGCUUCAGCUACAAUUUCUUUGUCAGAUGAGUCAAUAAUACCCACUUCUUCCUUUUUCUUAACAAAAUCAAACAAGCUAUCGACACGCUCUUCAACAGUCCUUUCCAAAUCAUCACUGAGGGUUAAAACUCUUGCAUGGUCACUGAUUUCGUCCAUUCUCCUCUAUUUAUUCACCUGUUGCUUCCUCUGUUGUAUCCUCCCCCCAGUCAUCAUCCUCCUCUUCUUCCACAGCAUGUGGAGGGGGAUUGAUUUCAUUUGGUGGUGGUGGUGGUGGUGGUGGUGUCUCACUGCUGGACACGGUGCCAUUUUCCUUGUCCUUGCCCUUACUGUUUUUCUUUUCCUUUUCUUUCUUUCCUGUACCACUGUCACUAUUCUCAGGUGGGUUUUUGAGAAUGAAUGUGCAGAGUUUAUGAUGUGUGUCAAGCAUGCCUCGAUAGCCACAGGCUUAACAAGAAUUACCUAUUGUUUGCUUCUUUGGAUUGACAUGCAGAUCUGUUUCAGGAUUCUCACACUCAGGACAGAGAACAAAUUUUUUUUUUUUUUUUAAUUUUAUUUUCCCACUGUACAGCAAGGGGGUCAGGUUAUCCUUACAUGUACACAUUACAAUUACAGUUUUUCCCCCACCAUUUCUUCUGUUGCAACAUGAGUAUCUAGACAUAGUUCUCAAUGCUAUUCAGCGGGAUCUCCUUGUAAAUCUAUUCUACGUUGUGACUGAUAAGCCCAAGCUCCCGAUCCCUCCCACUCCCUCCCCCUCCCAUCAGGCAACCACAAGUCUCUUCUCCAAGUCCAUGAUUGAUUUUCUUUUCUGAGGAGAUGUUCAUUUGUGCUGGAUAUUAGAUUCCAGUUAUAAGUGAUGUCAUAUGGUAUUUGUCUUUGUCUUUCUGGCUCAUUUCACUCAGUAUGAGAUUCUCUAGUUCCAUCCAUGUUGCUGCAAAUGGCAUGAUGUCAUCCUUUUUUAUGGCUGAGUAGUAUUCCAUCGUGUAUAUAUACCACAUCUUCCGAAUCCAAUCCUCUGUCGAUGGACAUUUGGAUUGUUUCCAAGAGAACAAAUUUUUUAAUGAAUCCAUCUAACAUGUCUUGCAGCUUAUUCGCCUCAUGAGAUCCAUUGACGAUGUAACAGUCAUUCUUAACAUCAAACUGGGUCUGUGCUCCCAGCUCACAACCAAAAUAUUUGGUGGGAUAUGUAGGAGGCCGAUCAAGUGCUUUGGCUCCGUCAACCAUGUUGACUAUAACUGUCUUGAUUCCAUUUCCUUUGCCCUCGACCUUGGCAAUCAGACGGGGCAUCUUGUAGCGAUAGAACUGGUCUGACAUGCUGCGAUUGACAUUGACAGAUAUUUUGGCUUAUUAGUGACUUUAUCAGUAAGAUGAGAGAUCUUUGAUUGCAACUUUUUGGUAUCCUCUGUCUGGAGAAGAAGGGGUGACAUAAACGACUGCAAGAGUUCUCGGUCUCUGACAUGAAAAAUUUUUCGCCACUGAGGCUGUAAGCUUCUUGCUUGUAUGCUAUGUUUCCCCAAUACAGGUACCAAUGGCUGCGCAACAGCUCUCUGGAAUGUUCUCACUCGGACUCAAUAAUGUCCUUUAUAGUCAAUCCUCACCCCCAUCACCACCCCAAUCCUGGAUCACUCAUUGCAUUUAAUUGUCACAUCUCUUUAGUCUCUCUUAUCUAGAACGGUUUCUCAAUUUUCUUUUUCUUGACCUUGACAUUUUUCAAGAGCAUAAGCUAGUUAUUUUUGUAGAAGAUCUGUCAAUUUGGGUUUACCUGAUAUUUUCCAAUGAUGAAGUCAUGUGGGAGUUUUGCCAUAAAUAUUGCAAAAGUGACGCUGUAUCCUUUGAGAGCAAGAUAACUUGAGGCACAUAAUACUGGUUUGUCACAAUAUUGAUAUGCAUUUUGAUCAUUAAGAUGUUAUCUGCCAGUUUUCCCCAUGUAAUAAGAAACCUUGUAUGUAAAUAUCUUGUUUCCUAUUAAACUUUCUCCGAGUGCUU
RNAcentral lists this long non-coding RNA (5916 nucleotides) under Sus scrofa (pig). RNAcentral describes it as "lncRNA (ENSSSCG00040015480.1)". Lineage: Eukaryota; Metazoa; Chordata; Mammalia; Artiodactyla; Suidae. The record is from RNAcentral.